AGCAGCCGCGGUAAUUCCAGCUCCAACAGCGUAUAUUAAAGUUGUUGCAGUUAAAAAGCUCGUAGUUGAAUUGAGGGAUUGACGUGACGGUCGUGCCUUACGGGGUAUGAAUGAACUGUUGCUGUUGAUUUUUCUCACCUUCUGGAGAAACUUGAUGUCCUUAAUUGGGUGUCUUGCGGAUCCAGGACCUUUACCUUGAAAAAAUUUAGAGUGUUUAAAGCAGGCAUUUUUGCUCGAAUACAUUAGCAUGGAAUAAUAGAAUAGGACGGCAUGGUUCUAUUUUGUUGGUUUCUAGGAUCACCGUAAUGAUUAAUAGGGAUAGUUGGGGGGCAUUAGUAUUCAAUUGUCAGAGGUGAAAUACUUGGAUUUGUUGAAGACUAAUUACUGCGAAAGCAUUUGCCAAGGAUGUUUUCAUUAAUCAAGAACGAAAGUUAGGGGAUCGAAGACGAUCAGAUACCGUCGUAGUCUUAACCAAUUAAACUAUGUCGACUAGGAAUCAGACGAUGUUAAUUUUUUUAAA
This 520-nucleotide unclassified non-coding RNA is filed under the name uncultured Entrophospora. RNAcentral describes it as "SSU rRNA". It matches the Rfam family "Eukaryotic small subunit ribosomal RNA", at positions 569 to 1075 of the family's 1831-position model. Lineage: Eukaryota; Fungi; Glomeromycota; Glomeromycetes; Entrophosporales; Entrophosporaceae. The record is from RNAcentral.